RNAcentral lists this ribosomal RNA (250 nucleotides) under uncultured bacterium. Its description in RNAcentral is "partial 16S ribosomal RNA". It matches the Rfam family "Bacterial small subunit ribosomal RNA", at positions 1 to 252 of the family's 1533-position model. The record is from RNAcentral.
UCAAUUUGAUCAUGGCUCAGGACGAACGCUGGCGUCGCGCCUAACACAUGCAAGUCGAACGAGAGAGAAGGAGCUUGCUUCUUCGAUCGAGUGGCGAACGGGUGAGUAACGCGUGAGGAACCUGCCUCAAAGAGGGGGACAACAGUUGGAAACGACUGCUAAUACCGCAUAAGCCCCACGGGUCGGCAUCGACCUGAGGGAAAAGGAGCAAUCCGCUUUGAGAUGGCCUCGCGUCCGAUUAGCUAGUUGG